AGCUGACAUGUAGAAAGGAUCGAUACUCCUCUUGAUCGGGCCGAAGAUGUAUAAAGGGAGUAUGAAAAGGUGGCAAUGCCUGAUGAGUAGAUUUUGGUGCAUUAUUCUUAUGUUCAGUAGUUGCUGAUGCAGCUGGAUUUGCAAACAGGUUAGGUCCAUGAACAUUGCCCGUAGGGUGAAAUACAGAAUCUUGAAAUGACAUACCCAGGGAAGGAUUUUGAACACAUGUUCUAAGGCUUCCAUCUAGGACAUGCACAGCAACAUGCCGAGGAUAAUUUUGAGCAGCUUGCAUCUCAUCUGCACAAAAAUCACCAUCCAAAUCAUCUUUUCUCUGGCCUUGAGCUGAUUUCUCAUAUGAAGUGCAAGACUUCUCCAAGUUUGAAGCCUUACUUGUACCAUUAUCAUGAAAUGUCUGUUGGACAUUAAGUUUAUAAGGUUCACAAAUUUCUUUAAGUUCAAGAAUAACAUAGAAUUCAUGUUUUUCAUGAUUUACUACCUCUUUUGGCAAAGGUACAAACUCCCUGAAUGUACAAGAGCUUUUGAGUGCAGUUGACAUUGGUAUAAAAUUCUUAUUCAUGGAAGACGCAGAGGAGCAGUUUUGUUCGUGGAGAAGGGUAAAAACCUCAGAGCAACUCUGGUCUUGAUUUUCUUUCAGGUUUGUAGCCUUUUCAUCUCCAGUAGGUCUCUGACAAACACAAUAUAUUUGAAGCUUACGUUAAAAAGGAGAAAAGAAAAAGAACAUAAUUAAGAGCAUGAAUAAAGUAGUUGAGGAGGAGAAAGAAACCUCCGGAAGUGGUUCUUUCUCCAAGUCCAACAUUUGCUUGCAACGCAAAGAAGAUAAUGGCAUUUCAGAUUUUCCAUCCUUAGCUCCCUCUUGUACUGUAGUAGCAGCACCAGUUUUUCGAGGAUAAGGAUUGCUUGGUUUUCUUUUAGGGCGUGGAGGUGGAAUCUCUAUGUCAAGAGCUUGACCUAUUGGUACACCUUUAGCAAGUGCCUCCUUCUCCAACUGAGAAUGGAUUAUUGUCAGUAGCAUCAAUAAAAUGAUAAAACAUAAGAGAAAUCUUACGAGUUUUUGGAGGCACCAAUGAAGCAUCAAUAUAAUAUUAACAAUGUGCAACACUAAAAUUAAUGAUAGGAAUGACAUAACUAAAUGCAACAUGAUCAUAUCUAACCAGUAUAAUUCCAAAUAUUAUCAGGAAACAAGAAGUCCAAGUAUAUAAUUGCUCUACAAUCUACAAAUAUCUCACACAGGAGGUUCAUACAAAAUUUUAUACUCCUGUUGUCAAUUAAUAUGGCCUGUUUUAUAACAUUAGAUUAGAUUAGAUUCUUCUUUUAUCCUUUCAUCCCAUAACAUGUCUGCUCAAGACUCGUCAGCAAUAUAAUACUUGAAUGUAGCAGACAUAAACACAGCCCACAGUUGAACAUAUACAUAGACAAAGAUUGACUAAAUAAAAAAGGGGGGGCUGGUUUAGCCGAGCAGUCAGUUCUGCUCGGCUAAACCAACCCCCCAUUUUACUAGGAGAAGAGAGGAUUAGCUGUAUUUAGAUGAAAAGAAAAUUACCAGUGGUUUCUUAAGAAACACAGUUUAGGUACUGCAUAAAUAAGAUUAAUCAAACCAUCUAUAAUGUUCAUUGUCAUGUAAAAUUGAGAUCAUUAAAGGUUAGGACUUCAGACUGAAGAAAGUAUUUGAUAAAGCUUUAACCAUAAUAUUCUUGAACAAUCUUCAUUUGCUUACUGUCCUGAUAAGAUUUAUCACUCACGAGCUAAUCGAGAUAAAAAUGUUAUGCAUGCAUUUGUUUGCGACAUCAGAAAUAUGAAAAGGAAAAAAAGAAGGAAGUAAUGCAUUACCAUGUACCUAACUUUAACAUAAUUGGCAGGUGACUGCCGAUAACCUGCAGGAAAUAAGUCUUUAAGAGAAGAAUCCAGUAAAAUCUUACUUUUACUGAAGAUGUAUACUUAAGGAGGAUAAUCGCUUAAGACAGACCUAUAGGAUGCAUACCUCAAAUCAAACAUCAUAAUUAGCUACAAGGCACAUCUAACAGACAUGCUGCUGUGAGCUUGGCUGCAAAACUUAAGGUACUAUGGGGAAGAUUGAUCCCAGUAUGAUCACCUAGAAGGUAUAAUAUAGUUUCAAUUAGGACUUAUCUUUCUGAUUAAAAGAAAAAUAUGCAGAUCAGAAUUUUAUGUUCCACAUUACUAGGAAAGGAAAUUAGUUGUAUCAUAAAUGAUAACAUCUAUAUAGAAGGUAUGAUCCUUAAGCAUAAAUGAGUACCCAUCUUGCAUUUCAAGCUCUCCCAAUUCCCAGAAAUGGAAGAACAAAAAUAAAAUUCAUUUUUUAGAUCUAACGAGUAUCUGGCUCACACCAGCAAUAUGGCUAAUGUUUGAAGAGAUUUCUCACCAGUAAUCUAAAGUUCUAAACACAUCAACAAACUCUAUAAUUCAACAAAUUCGUGUCAUCCCUGCUAGUACUAACUACUACUCAUCAUAUCCACUCUAAUGUUAGAUAAGAUCAUUUGGUAUUAUGAGAUCAACAUCUUCAACAGCCCUAAACUAAGUAGAUAUAAGCCCUAAACUUCCACCACAUAAAGGAGAUAAUAAAAAGUAGGCAAUAAAAUGCAAAAAAGAUAUAAGCCCUUGAGAUAUUGUCUUGAAAGGAUGUGAAACUUGCCACUAUAAAAGCUUUUAACAAAAAAAUGAUCCUAAAAUCAAAAGCUAUAAGCUAUCAAAUUUACCCUAACUGCAGAUUCAUUGCCAACCUUGGAUGCUGAUGAAUUGAACUAUUAGCAACCUUGAGAUGCUCUACACAUAAAGGAUACACUAAGCGGUAAUUCUAACUUGCAAUGACUAGCAUACUGGCCAUGGAUGCUAAAGAUUUCAGUUUAAACCAGAACCAAAAUCUAUGCAUAUAAUAUAGCAACAAAGAACAUGAUAGGUGGGCUCACCCCAAAUUCACUUCCUAGUUCUAUACCUCAUAAUGAUGUAUUUUCACUCUGUAUACAAACUCACUUCUUAGUUCUUACUAUACCUCAUAAUGGUGUGUUUUCACUCUCUAUACAAAUUUAGACUACAUGUAUCUACAUGACCCUUUUAUCCAAAGAAACCAAAUAUUUUAACUUUCAAAACCUCUGCUGUGGUAGGUUAAGUACAAAAUUGCUUCAGCAAGUUCCCAGACAAGAGGAUGCCUUGCACAUAAAAGGUUAGUGAAGGGCACAUUAGAAAAAAACCUUUUAUGACAACUUAAAAAACCAAAAAUGCCCUUUUUUAUUUCGGACUCCAAGGGUGAUAAACCAUCUUGCGCAGCCAAUUUCGUACAGAGACCAAAUAAAGAGAAUUCAAAUAGCUUACAUCCCCAAAAUCAAAUUCGUAGGGAAGAUAAAAGGCUAUCACCCUAAAUACGGUUUAAAUAUUUAGCAGCUCAGAUUCUUAUUUAACUCAAGUUGCUGCCUUUUCUAUAUAUAUUAAUAAACAAACUCCAGUGUACUUCUUUACAUAGUUGGUUAUAAUUUUGAUCGGUCAUAUAUGAUUGAUGUUUUUGACACAGAAAGCUAUACAUUCGCUUCGUAUAUUUUCUUUGUUGUUUUAAAUCUAACAAAUUUGUUUAUACAAGUGAGAAAAUGAAGUAAUAGAAUAAUCAGUAAGAUUUCCCAACCGUUCAAGAUAGUACAGUUGACGAUUCGAUAUUUCAUAUAUCUCAAGCAGAAACAAGAAUUAAGCAGCAGAAAAAAAUUACAUUGAACAUAGGCAUAAGCAUAAACAAGAAGGCACCAAAUGACCUUUGAAAAGAACUUUUGAGCAUGACUCCUGAUCUGCACAGCUGUCUUUGUUCCUAUAUAUUCUGCAAAUCACCAUGUAAAAACAAAAUGGAAAGAAAAAUACAACAAUAAAUAACAAAACUAUUCAGUUGUUGGUCCUAACAAACAUAUCCUACGAAUCUUAGCCUCAAUCCACAAAAACACUAGCUCUAAAAUGAUAGCAGCAAAAUCUAAACUAAGAGGGAAAAAGCAAGUGAAAAAACCUUCAAUGCGUUGCCAAGCUCGUCCAUAGAGCUUCAAGGCCUCUAGAAACCUAUUAUGCUCUUCCUCGCUCCAUCUUUCACGUUGUUUCGUAAUAGUAUAAGGCUUCCUAGUCUAUCAUUUAACAUACAAAAUUCAAUGGUCCAAAUUAUAACAAACACAAACCCCCAUUUUUUUACAAAGCUUCAUUUAAGAGAAGAGUUUACCUUAAUAACUAGUUCUUCACCAGAGGAGUAUGUGUCCAUUGAAACAGCGUCACCGCUGCUUCAAAUCCUCUCUAACAAGCAAAGAGUAUAUCACAAACCUCCUUUCAUUUCUUCCAACAUCCAAUACGACAAAUAGUAAUGCCGUUUUUGAGCUCCACAAAACCUGAUGAAUGCUAUUUAAUACUGCAAAAAGAAAAAACACAAAAGAACAACAACAACAAAUCGAUGGAGAUCCGUCUCUGUUUGUAUUUUUAUUCCAAUUAAAUUAAUAUUAAUUUCUCAUCAUUUAAUAAAAAUAUUUACUUAAUAAAAAUUUGGGGUGAAUGCUAAAUCUCUGGAAAAAUUAAAAUAAAAUAAAUAAAAAUUAAGUAUCCACCGUAACAAAGAGAAGAGACGGCUUCUUCCAAAGAACUUAAAAGAAAAUUCUCACCAAAACGAACCCGUAGACGCCAAAACCUUUAAUAGAAAAUGAUACGAAAAAAAAAAAGAAACUUUAAUUAGUAAUCAACAACACACUUCCACUGUUCCACAUCCAAUCUAUCUAUUGACAGCCAAUAAUAAUUCUUCACCUUCUGUUUGGUCGCCGAGAAAAAAAACAAAAGGAUUCAAAUUCAAUCACUUUUCUUUCGUUACUCUACUCAGCUGCAUAUAAAGAACACAACUUCCAAACUCAGCUUAGCAAAGCCUUUAAGGAAGGCCCUAGAAAUGAAGUGUAAAUACCUUAAAGAGAUAACCAUGGAAGAUGACAACAAUGGAAGCAACGAUCACGUAUCAAAAAUGGGUUCACCGGAAACCAGCCGGAGAGCUCAUAGUUUCCGGCAAUGACAAGAUCGGAAUCAACAGAAUUGGAAAAAUUAAAAGUAGUCUUUUUUGGGAGAAAAGAACUUGAAUAAACCCAAAAAAAAAAAGUGAAAGCAAGCUUAUUUUCUGGUGAUAAACUGAAAAAACACCAGAAACUACAGUAUGGGGAAGAAACAAAAGGAGAAAUCUCAGCCACUACAAUUUCAUGAGGAUUUUUUUUUUGGAAAAUUACAAAAAUUGGGCAGAAAAUUAUGUGAGGCUAUAAAAGAAUGAACGGUAAGAUACAUUAGAUGUUGCCAAGUGGCAAUAAUUUAGUGGCUGAUUCAACUAAAAGCCCACCGUUGCACUUUUUCCCUUAUUUUUUUGAUCUUUUUUUCUUUUUGCCCUUCUUGUUUCCUACCUUCAUCUUCAAAUAUCAGCCACAAGCUCCCAAUGGUCUUGGUGUUAAAUUAGUAAAAGCGCCAUUUGGUAUACCACAUGGUUCCUGCCGUCAACGUUUACGCAAUUCGUUGGCGUGGGCAACCGGUACGUGUCGGUUACAGGGGUAGCUUUGGUGUUAAAAGCACCGGAUUUGUGACCAUUAGCCACCGUAUGAGGUGAUGAGAUUUUAGGGUUGCAACAAAUCUAGGGAUAUGCUAUGCUCCCUUCCAUAAGUACUUGUAUUUUUUAUAGAUUUGAAAUUUAGUUCCUGUACUUUUAUUUUUAGGAAUUUAGUCAUUUUACUUUUCAAAUUUUUAAAUUCAGGUUUUACUGUUAACAUUGUUAAAAUUAUUUGUUAAAUUCAAGUUCAUUAUAAUAUUAUUUUUUUAGUUAAGUUGCUACCAAGUGAAUUUUUUUUUAUUUCAAUAUGUAAUAUAAGCCAAUUUAACGAAAAAAAUUAUAACAAUGUUAACAAUUGAACCUAAAUUUUGAAAUAUAGAAAGUAAAGAGACUAAAUUUUAAAUUUACAAAGAGUACAGGGACAUGACAUAUUUUAACCUUUUUUAUUAAACUUGUGAGUUACAACUUAAUUCCUAAAUUUGAAUUUCAUUAGAGUAUAUUAGCGUGUCGCUCUAAUAUUAGGUCACAUUGUCAUUUGAAAAUUUUAAAAAUUUUAUAUGAUAUCUAAAGAAUGCAAAAGGAAAAAAUUAAAGAAAUUCAUGUGGCGAUGGGAGAUAAUCUUAUAAUGUCACAUUAUUAUACUUUAACAAGAUCUAAGAUAAGAAACCAAAUUGAGAAAAACUAUCAAGCUUAAAGACUAAUGUGGAUAAAAAAAAAGUUGAAGGAUCAAGAUGAAAAUUUUAUCAAAUUUAAGAUCUAAAUGUUGCUUUAUGAUUAUUUUUUUUUAUCUUUUUAAGAUAAGAGUAAACUCCAUCAAUAUUCUCUAAACUUCAUUUAAAAAAAUGAUGUAUCAUGUUUUGCCAUUAAUAAUAAUCAGACUAAGCUCAUUUUAAAACAACGCCCCUAUUUAUUGUAAUGAUAUAGCAUUAUUCUUAUUCAAGUGCCUUGAUGUCCUCCGCUAAUGGUUGGAGCCUCCAAUCGAUGGACCUUACAUCCUGCUCAAAACUCUUGCAUAAAGCUUUCAUGUUAGGUGCAAAGAUACCAAUAGUGAAUCCAAACCUCUUUGCCUCAAUCAUUGCUUCUCUUAUUACGAAUAAAAUAGCUUGCUUAGUGGUAACCUCAUGUAAUGUGCUACAAAAACUUGUAAAUUUUAUUCAUUGAAUAUUAAAGAUUGUUAGAGACACUCCGAGGAAGAUAGUCCCUUUCUUCCAAGCUACCAAAGCAAUUCCCGAUAUAGUACCAUGAGGAACAUUCGAUCUAAUUGAUUUGCUCUGUUGUAUUCGAAAAUACCUCUCCGUAGCAUUCUUCCAUUUCUUGUCCUCAAACACCUAUAUUUCAUAGUCCUUGAAGAUUUCAAACCCUGUUGAUUACACUUAAGGAUUAACAUCAUAUCCUUUAAAAUAAUAUUCAUUUAUAUGAAUCCGUAUAUUCUAUAAGAUGCAAAUAAUCACUUAAUGCGUAUCAUCUAUUAAUAAAAGAGAAAAAUUGAUGUUGAUUGUAACACCCCUAACCCGUAUCCGCUGCCAGAACAGGGUUUCAGAGCAUUACUACCAUUUACAGAUCACUAAAAAAAAUUUAAAUACUUACCGAUUCAAUGCAUCAUAUAAAUAAAUAUAUUACCAUUCAAUCAACAGUUUGACACUUGUAUAAGCAUCAAACAACAACAUUGUUAGUAUACUUGCACAUAUCUCAUAUAAAGUCAACAUUGAUAUAUCUAUUUUCUCGACAUAUCGCACUUGAGUUUAAUAAUAGUCUCAACUUACAUAAUUUCCUUGUAUCAACAUAUCAAAGAUAAUCAUAUAUGUACAUGUCAUGAAACAUAUCAUGCUCUUACCGUUUCUUCAUAAGCAUAUAUCAUUCAUUUCAUUAUAUCAAUAUUUCAUACUCCAUCAUUUCCAUAUAUUUUAUGUAUAUUUAUUCCGGUAAUAGCUUAUAUCAAACUUAACAUAAAUUAUAUUCCAUGUACUUAUACUUAUUUCGUUUAUCUAUCUUCAUAAUUAUUUCAUAUAACCAUUCGUCAUCUGAUACAUAUUACCUGAAUAUCAAUUGUUCAACAGAUGUUAGAGCGUCUCCCAUCCACGGUCUUAUUUAUCUUUGACAUGAUGCCAUAGUGUCUUUCAACUAUGGUCUUACUCAUUUUCUGUCAUGUUGCCAUGGUAUCUUUCAACCAUGGUCUUGUUCAUUUCAUAUCACGUUGCCAUGGUAUCUUUCAACCAUGGCCUUACACAUUUCAUAUCUGGUUGCCAUGGUAUCUUUCAACCAUGGCCUUACACAUUUCAUAUCAGGCUGCCAUGGUAUCUUUCAACCAUGGCCUUACACAUUUCAUAUCAGGUUGCCAUGGUAUCUUUCAACCAUGGUCUUACACAUUUCAUAUCAGGCUGCCAUGGUAUCUUUCAACCAUGGUUUUACACAUUUCAUAUCAGAGAGCACACUCCCGCGAACCUCAUCCUUACAGUGGGAUUACCAGUCCAGGCUAAAUCCCUUGUAAUAUAAACUCAUAGAGUAUUGUCGGGAUUACCAGUCCAGGCUAAAUCCCCUGCAACGACAAUUACUCUAAUGAGCUUGGAUCUGAAUUACCAGUCCAGGCUAAAUUCAGACCCUAAUUCGGAUUACCCGUCCGGGCUAAAUCCAUUUUACACGUAUUCUUCGGGAGGGCUAUAUCAAGAUAGGAUCACCCGUCUGGGCUAGAUCCUUUUUACCGUCAAUUCCUUUUCAGAGAUCCAUCGAAUUUUCCUUUCAUUCAACCGAGAUUUCUUCCCAUUUUAUCAAAUAUAUCAAUGUUUCAUAAAUUUUCAUACAAUGAACAUUCAAAUCAUAUUCACAUCAAUAACAUACAAUCUCAAGUAUUUAAGAAUAUAAUUCAAGUUACACGAACUUACCUCAUUGCUUGUUUGUGUUUAUAAUUUCAUUAAUCCGAUAUCUUUUCUUUUCCACAAUCAAGUCUCAUAUUUGAGUCGUCCGGAUCUUUAUAAAUAAAUUUGAUCAUCAUUUUCAUUCAUUUCAUCUUCUAAUGCAUUUAAUUAAUGCUCUAGGCAAGAUUACCAUUUUGCCCCUAAACUUUUAAUUAAUGACAAUUUCGUCCUUAGGGUCAAGAAAAUAAAAUUCUUGCAAUUUAAUCCUUAUUUCCAGCUAUUAUUCUCAUAUAUAUUGAUAACAGUCCAUGGAUUCUAUAAAAUAUCAUAAUUUUCCAUAAUUUCAACACUUUUCAAUUUAAUCCCUAAAACAUGUUUUCCCCCGAUCUUGAACUAAAUUAAUAAUUUCAUUCAAUUUUGUAAUUUAAAUAAUAAAAUAAUCCAUUUCAUGCAAUUUGGUUAUUUUUGACAUUUUUACAAAAUUACCCAUAAAGUUUUACUUUUAUUCAAUUUAGUCCCUAAGCCUAAAAUAUGCAAAUUAACCAUGCUUAAUGAAUAUUCAUAUAUUUUUUCCUCCUCCUCCUCUCCAUUCCACAUACUUGAUGUAUGUAGCACACUUGUAAGUAACAUUAUCUAAAUCUUUAUUAUUUACUUUUAUGAAUAUUCAAGCUGUCCAUCUGUGUCAUAGUCACUAAAUUAUUUAUAUCUGGAUCUAUAGGACUCCAAAUUAAUAUCCGCUAAUUUUCCCUGAAACUAGACUCAUAUAUCUUCUUACCAUAAAAUUUUCAGAAUUUUUGGUUUAGUCAAUAAGUACAGUUUAUUCUUUAAAUUUACCCCUAUUCUGCUGUCUGACAGUUGUGACCCUUCUUCACUAAAAAUUAAUUAUCUCCUUGUACAGAAUUCGAAUGAUGUUCAUAUUUGUUUCUAUUGAAAAUAGACUCAUUCAGGAUUAUAAACAUAUAAAUUUAAUCCCCUAAUUAUUUUUAUCCAAUUUUUUUAUGAUUUUACAAAUUCAGAAUAGGGGAACCCGAAAUCAUUCUGACCUUGUCUCACAAAAUUCAUCAUAUUUCAUGAUUUAGAAUUCCAUUGCUUACAUAAUUUCUUCUAUAAGAAACUAGACUUAAUAAGAUUUAAUUUAAUAUUUUAUUCAUCCUAUAAUUAGAUUUCUACAAUUUUUGAUGAUUUUUCAAAGUUAGACUACUGCUGCUGUCCAAAACUGUUUUAGUACAAGAUAUUAAUUACCAUGUUAUAACAUCCUUAUUUUCUUUUUCUACACCAUUGCUCAUCACUUUCUCUUAUUUUUUCUUCACUAACAUAUCAAGAACAUAGGACCUUAUGUAAGAAAACUCUACUAUAACAUUAUUUCCAUGCUUUAUCAAUAAUAACAAACUUAAAAACAUAUUGAAAUCUUGAUGUACUUACCUUUUCUUAUUGACUUCAAUCUUUAACUUGAUUUUUCUCUCUCCUCCAGCUUCGAUUUCUUGAAUCCAACUUGAUAUUCUUGCUCCCCAUCAUCUCCUUGCUAUCUUUCUCUCUUGAUGGCUAUGGAAAUUCUUUCAAUUUUUAGGUGAAAAUAAUGAAUUUUUGGUGGAAGGACUAAAUUGUAAAGAAAGCAAACUUCUUUUCUUCUUCUUAUCUUGCGUUAGUUUGCAUGGGAAAGGAAAUGUGUUGAUAAUUCUUCAUCUUUCCUUCCUUUUAUACUAAAUAAAUAAUAAUAUAAUAAUAAUAAACAUCUCAUAAAAUAUUAAUAAAAUAAUAUUUAUCUAAUUAAUUAAUUUAAAAUAUCAUCAACAUAAUCAUUACAUUCUAGAAUUCUCUCUCUUAAUUAAUUGACCAUUUUGCCCUUCAUGAUCUUUUAGAAUUCCAUCCUUGAGUCAUCACUUAAUUUGGUAAAAUUACGAUUUAGUCCCUCAUAAUUUUUUUACCUAUUCAAUUUGGUCCUAAUUCAUCAAUUUUUCUUGGUUUCUAGAUCAUUCCACCCUUAAAAUAUUUGCACCAUUAGUCCUUCAAUUUUUUAUAUUUACACUUCAACCCCUUAAAUUUUGAGUAUUUACUCUUGUGCAACAAGACUUUUCUCAUCUUUGCAAUUUAGUCCUUUCUUGAAUUAAUAUAUCAUAAUAUACUUCUCAAUAUUGACAUCACUCAAAAACUCCCUUUUGGUCACUUUAUUUCCUUAUUUUACUAUAUCACGGAUAAUAUUUUACUGUAAAAAUUUUCGGGGUAUUAUAUUGAUGCAUUUCCUCCUUAAUAUAACAUGCAAGAUAAAACUCUGAAUAUCACAAUUAUUAACUUCAGUCGGCUUAAAACCUAAAAUCAAUUCCAACCAAACUACUCUAACUAAGAAGAGAUGAUCAUAGGAUUCCAUAUAUUAGCCACAAAAGCUACAAGUUGUAUCAAAACAAUUAAUUCUUCUACCUAUUUCCUCUUUUAAAGGCAAAACUUUGACACAUAUUUUUUAUAGAAAUAGUAAUUCAAAAGAUUAAUAAUUAAUUUGAACUAUCAUUUUAAUAUUUUUAAAAUUUUUUUAAUUAUUUUAAAAAUUACUUAAAAAUUAUUAAAAUUUUAACCUAAUCCUUUAAACCGGAGCUUUUGGGUUUUACUUUUUUUUUUUUAAAACUUAAUCCUUUGAUGUUUUUCUUAUUCUUUUUAAAUCACACCAAACUGUUAUUUUAGCGUAUACCAAUGAUUAAAGUAUACAAAUUCUCAAAAUUAGAACAGUUAUUUUUAUAAUAAAAUUAUUAAAAUAUAAAAAUAACUCAAUAUUGAAUCAGUUAUUUUUCAAUUUAACAGAUAUUAUUAUGGAAAAAAAAGCUGGGUUUUAAUUAAGAGAACCCAAAACCCCAAUCUUUAAAUUCUACUGAUUUAAUCAAAUUAGCAAAAGUUAAAAAAAAAAAAAAACGACAGUUAGACUACAAGGGAAAAACCAAAAGAGAAAAAAAUUUAUUUUCGUUCUUUUAAUGAUUUUUAUAAUUUUUAAUUAUUUUUAAGAUUUAAAAAAUUGAAAAUAUCAAAAUGAUAUUUUUAACUAUAAUUUAAUAAACAAAUUAAUUAUUAAUCCUUUAAAUUAAGUAUCAUGUUGUUCCCUAACAGAAAUUAACGGACGAAUAAUUAAAAUAUAAUAUUUAAAUAAUAUUAAUAAUCAUUUCGUAUCUUUUAAAAAUUCAAUCAUUCAAUUAAAUAAAAUUAAAUAUUCAAUCGUUACACAAAUUACUAGAGCCAUUGAAAUAAACCAAAAACGGUUCUUAAUUUGUCUACAAAGUCAACACUCUAUCCUAUACACUCACAUGAAUAAAAUUUCAAUUCGGUCAGCCCCUUAAUUAUUAGAUUUAUUCAUGUUAUGCUAAUUAUUCAUUAUCAUCCAAUUCAUACAUUAAUUUGCCUUAAUUAUCCUAAAUUAACAUAGUUAACAAUUAAUCAAGAGGGAAAACAGUUCAUUUGAGUACUCACUAUUUAAUAAUUUCCAGCCAAUAAUGAAAUCAAGUCCUUGAUAUAAUUACACUCAAAUCCCUCUAAACUUCUAUUACUUUUUAAAGUAGUCCCCACCAAUUCACAUUUGUAUCCCUCCACUUUAAGCAUUUAUGUACUAGAUAAUCCCCACUUCAGUUUUCCUACUAUUUUCUCUUAAAUUACACCAUCUCAAUUUACUUAUUUCAUCAUAAAUAUUUAAGUUCACUGUUUAUCUCGAAAUUUACUAUCCGGAUGAUACCAUUUCGUGGUCUAAAUUUUGAAUAGUUUAAAUAUUAUAAAUUUUAAAAAAAAUCUCAAUAAAUUUUGAUAUUGAAUAAAUUGUUCUUCUAAAAAAAUCAAAUCAAUUUAAUCCCUGACAAGUUUAAAAUAAACACUUAAGACAAUUAAUCACACUGUAAUUAUUUUUCAUGAUAUAUAUAUUAUUAAUACAAUUACAAAUUUAACCCACAACAUUUAUAUAUUCUAUCAAUCCAAUUUAGAUGUAAUUAAUUUAAUCCACAAAUUUUUCUCAUUGUCAACAUUUAUGUAGAAUAUAUAAACAUUAAAAAUUAAAUUUAUUAUUAUACUAAUAAAAAUUAUAUAUAUAAUUGACGGAAAAACAUCACUAUUAUAACCAAUUAUCAUUAGUUGCUAUUUUUUAAAUCUACAAACAUCAAUUACUCCAAUUUUGAGAAAAAUUUAAAACCGACUAGAGUAACCAAAAACAAACUUUACUACCGGACAUCCAGAGAAAAUAUCCAUAGUAGAUGUAGAUCAACUAUAUGCUACGGAAUUAAUUUCAAAAAAGUUCUAUGCUGGAGAGAUGUCGGUACCAUUUGUAUCUUCGUCUUCAAAAUCUUGAAAAAUAUGUUAUUAUUGUUUUGGGAAAUAUGUUUUCCUGAACUAAAGUAAAUUGGAAAAUAUUUAGUGCAUUGGUAAUUUUUAAAUAUUAUUUUUGGAAUAAAAAAUUAUAUUCUCAAUGUAUUAUAUACUAAUUCAAAUAAAUUUUAGUUAAAAAUGAUGAUAAACUAAUUUUUAAUAAAAGUAAUAUUAAGUACUAAACAAUUAAAUACAUCAAAAGUAACAUGUUUAUUGUAUAUAAAAGUGAAUAAAAUAUAUACAAAACAUAAAUAAUAUGAAAAUAUAUUAUUUAAUUUUAAUAUUGACAACACUACUUAUCAGAUAUAUGUAUACAUUUGCAAAGCUUCCGAAAACAAAAAACCACAAUACAAAAACAAUGAGUCAAUUGGUAACUAAACACUAAAGCAAACAGACAAGGCUUGGAAGGAAAAAAAAGAGUAGAUAUACUUUUUGGUUCUCUUAUGACUUUAUUAUUUAGAUUGGUACUUAAUAAAAGAGUCGACUUCUUGGGGCAGCCAACUCAAACUCUCAACAAUUGAAAAUAUUGUAUUGACAUUAAGGUUUUGUCUAGCUUCCAUAGAAAGUCAUGUACAGUUCACAAGAAAAGUACUUUAAUUAAUGGAAAUAGAUAUCUACAAAACUCGGAAAAAAUAUCAAUAUAAAGUGUGCAAAUAAUAAUGAAAAUACUUAGGUACCCCACAACUUAAGACACCAAGGUACCUCCAUUAUUAUUCACCCACCUAUACUCUCACUUCUCCCGAGUCUUGCAGGUGACUAUUUCCACCAACUGAGGUACCCCUUGAUAAAUCGUACAUGACUCUCCAUAAAAGUUAAGGACAAAACCUCGACACAAGGAUAAAACCUUCAAUUAUAGAGACCGAAUCAACUACCCGACAAACGACAUUCCAAGUAGGAGCCAAUCCCCCCUCAAUAGUACCUAAUUUCUUUAUAUAUUUUUUUCAGACUAAAAUUUGAUUUCCACCACACAUGUUAGCCCAUUUUUGAACCUUCGUUAAUCUUGAUUUAACCACAUGGGACACAUCAUGUCAUCAACUAUGUACCUACCAUGUGUAGUAAAUUUAUUGGACCACAUAAUCCAAUUUUAAAAGAGUUACAAAAAAUUGACUAAAACCUGUAAGAAAAGCCAAAUUCGAGUACCAAUCUGAACAAAAAAUAUAUAUGUACCAAUUUAUACAUCAAAACCAAACGUACCAAAAAAUAUAUCUACCUAGAAAAAACUAAGCAUAAAAACAGUUGAACUAUGAACUCAGUGGGGCAAUCUGUUUAAAUUGCCUUUUCAUGCAUAAUAAAGGUUUCAGCUUCAGCUAGAGUUCACUAAGCAAAAGGUAUAAGAAUAAUGAUAAAGACAAAGGCAUUCAGAUUCAAUACUUCCUUUAAAUGCUUCUAUCUCAGAGGGAGUUUUUUAACUGCAGUAGCAAGCAUAAAAAAGUCCAGGAAAGCGAAUAAGUCAAUGUAGAUAUUAGAUAGUACACAACACCACCUACACGAAAAGUCUCGUGAGCUGCAAUCGAAUAAAAGUCUUUUAAGAUCAACAUAUGAAAAGGAAAUAAGAUAUGGGGGAAGAACAUUAGAGAUUGCAUUCAACAAACAAACUUUGCCUUUGUUAAUUGUAUGCAAUUGUGUAAAAGUCAAGUUGACGGUUCCCCUUCCAAGCGUACCCUCUUGGGACAUUUCUCUUCACCUUGACUGCCAGUGUUCAUCACUCUGUUUUCUUUGGCUUCCACAGAACACCUUUUGUAAGGUUUAAAUCCAGUUCGGCCAGCUUUUAGUUUUGAAUGUCCUAAUCCAAUAGUCAGCAGGCCCUCUUCUGUACUGUUCUUGUCUCUUGAUAAUGCAUUUUUCACAGUUUCUUGAUGAUCAGAACAAGAACCCCAUGUAUUGCUGUUGAGAUCUAAAGUUGAUAUUUCUUCGUCUUCCUCAGCUGGAUUUUGCUUGUCUUCACCUAUAUUUUCCUUUUGCUGCCCCUUGCUCUUGCCGUCAUGUGGAGGAGAAAAGCUUUGUGGGAGUACCUCCCGGGAGAAGAGGGCUUGAAAAGCUAGCCGCCCCUGAAUAAGUAGUGGAGCCAUACAGUGGCAAUUGUACAAAACAAUUAGAAUAAUAAUUAAAGUUGGGCUAUAUGGGAAAAUUGACAUAUCGACUCACCUCUUCAGAUACCUCCUUCCAAGAAUCACUCAGGUUGCUAUUGCUUCUACUACUACGACGGUAACAUUCAACUUGUGGAUGAUUGGGGUCAGCUCCUUUUGAAUCUUCCUUGUCUUUUUCAUGUUUUUCUAACGCAUCUGUCUCUACCUCACUGCUUGAAGGAGUGUUGGAGCCACAUGAGGACCGGUCAACUUGUUUUUUGUUCUUUGUUUUAUUUGCAUCCUGAGGCUCAAUUACUUCAGCAGCCGUCUCAUCAUCGGUAGCUUUCACUCCAGUAUUCACUUUUGCAUCUCCUCUCUCUUCACAGUCCGACGAUGAUGAAGUAGGUGAUUUAGAUGAUGAAUGCUGACCUUGCAAAGCUUCAGAGUUCUCAGGGUCUAGUUGCUCAACCUGCAGAGAUAGAGCUUGAUCAGUUUUACCCUUUUGUUCUGUCUUGGCAGCUGGAGGUUGACCAUUCUCCAUUGGUGGAACUGCAGCAGUGGAUGCAGGAAAACAGGUAAAGCCUGUAUGCAGAGGAGCACAUACAGGAAACAGUCCAUGGGCGGCCCACCAUGCAGUGGCAGCUGCUACAGUUGCAGCAGCGAUUGCAGCCAUUCUUGGAGCAGAGUUCAUUUGUCUAGAUGGGAAACCUCCUAAGCCGCCUGCAGGAGAAUCGCCAGAGCUUUCAAUAUUCGCAUAAGGCCAAAAUCUUGCUGCAAAGCUUGCUGCAGCAUGGGCAGCUGGAUUCUGUAACAAAGUAGAUACAAUGAGACUGGAAAAAGUGGAGGAGACAUGUAGAAAUGAUCGAUAGUCCUCUUGAUUUGGGCGAAGAUGCAUAAAGGGAGUAUGAAAAGGUGGCAGUGCCUGCUGAGUUGAUCUCGGAGCAUUAUUCUGAUGUUCAGUAGUUGCAGAUGCAGCUAGAUUUGCGGACAGGUUAGGUCCAUGAACAUCACCCAUAGGGCAAAAUACAGAAUCCUGAAAUGACAUAUCCAGGGAAGGAUUUUGAGCACAUGUUCUCAGGCUUCCAUCUAGGACAUGCACAGAAACAUGUCUAGGAUAAUUUUGAGCGGCUUGCAUUUCAUCUGCACAUAAAGCACCAUCCAAAUCAUCUUUUCUUUGGCCUUGAGCUG
RNAcentral lists this long non-coding RNA (15992 nucleotides) under Gossypium barbadense (sea-island cotton). RNAcentral describes it as "long non-coding RNA (GBAR_LNC011663)". The record is from RNAcentral. Lineage: Eukaryota; Viridiplantae; Streptophyta; Magnoliopsida; Malvales; Malvaceae.